UUCAUUCAUUCAUUCAUUCAUCCAUACAUUC
This 31-nucleotide non-coding RNA is filed under the name Mus musculus (house mouse). The record is from RNAcentral. Lineage: Eukaryota; Metazoa; Chordata; Mammalia; Rodentia; Muridae.